RNAcentral lists this transfer RNA (68 nucleotides) under Ictidomys tridecemlineatus (thirteen-lined ground squirrel). RNAcentral describes it as "Spermophilus tridecemlineatus (thirteen-lined ground squirrel) tRNA". It matches the Rfam family "tRNA". From Rfam's summary of the family: Transfer RNA (tRNA) molecules are approximately 80 nucleotides in length. Their secondary structure includes four short double-helical elements and three loops (D, anti-codon, and T loops). Lineage: Eukaryota; Metazoa; Chordata; Mammalia; Rodentia; Sciuridae. The record is from Rfam by way of RNAcentral.
GUGGUGGCUCAGUGGGAGAGCGCUUGCCUGGCAUGCAUGAGGCACUGGGUUCCAUCCUCAGCACCACA